Molecule: long non-coding RNA, 1020 nt
Filed under: Vulpes vulpes (red fox)
Lineage: Eukaryota; Metazoa; Chordata; Mammalia; Carnivora; Canidae
Description: lncRNA (ENSVVUG00000011578.1)
Source: RNAcentral
UUAUUUAUGAUAGUCACACACAGAGAGAGAGAGGCAGAGACACAGGCAGAGGGAGAAGCAGGCUCCAUGCACCGGGAGCCCGACGUGGGAUUCGAUCCCGGGUCUCCAGGAUCGCGCCCCGGGCCAAAGGCAGGCGCUAAACCGCUGCGCCACCCAGGGAUCCCCCCAGUCAAGAGGCUAAUGGGAAGUAACAUUCUUCCAAUGGGUGUCAUCAGUCAGUGAAUUCUAGGAGUUGGCAAGCAACAAUAAAAGUAGCUUAUGAAAGAGCAAGAAAUGAGUAGAAACACCCAAAAUUGGCCAGUAGAAUAUGCAAAUAUUCUCCACAGUUGCCUAUGAAAUUAAGAAAGGAGAAUGUGAAGGGAACAUGCAUAUCUGCAAUCCUGCAAGAGGAGUGAACUGGACUAACCACAGGCUGCUGUCUGUUUCAGUGCAUUCUGGUCCAUCUCUACUGCCGAUUAAUUGCCUAUGCUCAAAGACGGAGGUAAUCAGCUCUUACGCUUCUAGAAAUGUGUUGACCCCUUCUCCUAAGUACACACACACAGCCUUUUGCCAAAGUUUCUAGGCAUUUUGUCAAAGAUGCACUGUCUGUAAUGAAGUUGGGGGAAGCCAGGAGCACUAAGAGUGAAGCCCACAGCUGCUUGAAGAAACACUGCCAAGAUAAGAGCAGCUUUGAAGGAUAAACUGGGAGAUUAUGUUAGCAAGCAUGGCUAAGGCUUCUGGAGGGCUGGGGGAGGCUGCACUUCCAUCCAACGUUGUAUUACAAGUCUUAGAGUUUUAUUCUUUUUUAAUGAAUUAUUUAUGCCCCUGGGAACACCAAACAAAACGUUUCUUUCAAAAGAAUGAUAUUUCAUGGAAAGUGCUUAGACUUUGGUGUAAACAUUUUAGGAUGUAACAAAAUCACAAUGAUUUCCACAAAUGUCUUAAUCUAUUAGCAAGGAUUACUUAGGUGGAUUCUCUAUAGUCACACCAUUGCCUUUUCUGCAAAUAUUUUCUAAAGGAAUGGAUAACCUUUAGGUCAGG